Molecule: long non-coding RNA, 1134 nt
Filed under: Cyanistes caeruleus (blue tit)
Lineage: Eukaryota; Metazoa; Chordata; Aves; Passeriformes; Paridae
Description: lncRNA (ENSCCEG00000012889.1)
Source: RNAcentral
GCGAGGUGGGCGUGGGGCGGCUGAAGGGAGUGAGCGGCCCCGGAUGGAGGCGUCGGGAGGGGAGGAGGAACCGCGGCGAGGGACAGUCCCCGCGCGGAGGGGCUGGUCAAGCGCCGGGCCUGACCCGAGUCCUGCAGCACAGGCCCCGGUCCUUUUGGCGCUCCCGAGUUCGGUUGCGGAUGGGAAAUUGAUGGAAAUGGAACACCACAGGCAGGACGGUGUUUCUUGGCUGGUUUAGCCUGCGUGCUCAGGGAACGGCACCCAGGCGGCGGGGGCUGGAUGUUCUGCGCAGUUUGAUAUUAAAGUAUCCGCAGGGGAGAACGGAGCAGCGAGAGCGGUGAUCCCUGUGGGAUGCGGCUGUGAAUUCCCCUUAGCCACGCUGGCUGAGCGCUUCUCCAACACUGCAGUGCCAUGAGGGAGGUGUCGACCUUCGGUGCGGGUUCCAGCAUUAAUCUAAAAUUAACCCGUGCCUUACUCUGGUGCCCGCUGCCUGUUGCCCCACCUGCCCUCUGGACACCUGUACAGCACUCAGCGGUAAAGGGCGUGCUGUAUUUAUCUGCAGAGGACGGCAAGGACAGGAGUUGCAUUCCUGAAAUGCAGAAGUCAAAAUGCAAUUCAGCCUGUGGAAGCAAGAGCAAAGAUGGGGUGCUGAUGGGGGAGACCCCACGCUACAAAAAGCAUUUCCUUGCUCUAGAUCAGAACACUCUGGAUUAGUGAUGCUUCCUCCAAGUUUAUUAUCAACUUGAAUUUUGUCAUUACCUUUUGAUACCCAUUAAAUUGUUUGCACCUUUUAGUGAUCCUUGCUUUGUCAUUACCUUUUGAUACCCAUUAAAUUGUUUGCACCUUUUAGUAGCCCUUGCUUCUGUCUUCUCAAAAAAAAAAAAAAAAAAAAAAAAAAAAAUCGAAAAAACAGAAGGAGCAGCUUGUAUUUUGUCCAUAAAUAGCAACUUCCAAUUUUUUAUCAUGCUCGGUGUCUCCUGUACCCUUUCCAGUUUUUCAAUACCCUUCCUGUGUGGUCUCCCUGGCCUUUUUGCAGAGUAUAAUUAUGCUUGUAUACAACAUCCUGCAGCACUAAUGAGGCAAAGAAUGCCUUCCUCCCUCUCAUUUUAGAAUAAACAGCACAUAAUGUGGCCA